Molecule: ribosomal RNA, 253 nt
Filed under: uncultured bacterium
Lineage: Bacteria
Description: partial 16S ribosomal RNA
Rfam family: Bacterial small subunit ribosomal RNA
Source: RNAcentral
UACGUAGGGUGCAAGCGUUAUCCGGAAUUAUUGGGCGUAAAGAGCUCGUAGGCGGUUUGUCGCGUCUGCUGUGAAAACCGGAGGCUCAACCUCCGGCCUGCAGUGGGUACGGGCAAACUAGAGUGCGGUAGGGGAGAUUGGAAUUCCUGGUGUAGCGGUGGAAUGCGCAGAUAUCAGGAGGAACACCGGUGGCGAAGGCGGGUCUCUGGGCCGAUACUGACGCUGAGGAGCGAAAGCAUGGGGAGCGAACAGG